GGGCUCGUAGCUCAGUUGGUAGAGCACUUGCAUGGCAUGCAAGGGGUCGCAGGUUCAAAUCCUGUCGAGUCCACUA
Molecule: transfer RNA, 76 nt
Filed under: Candidatus Falkowbacteria bacterium CG_4_10_14_0_2_um_filter_36_22
Lineage: Bacteria; Candidatus Falkowiibacteriota
Also listed under: 3 other names
Description: tRNA-Ala
Rfam family: tRNA
About the family: Transfer RNA (tRNA) molecules are approximately 80 nucleotides in length. Their secondary structure includes four short double-helical elements and three loops (D, anti-codon, and T loops).
Source: RNAcentral